AUACUACUACUUGUAACCCUCUUUUGUGCGGCGAUGAUACAAUACGUACUAUUUGGGUGAUAAAAUUUCUUGUGGGAAUACCAAUAUUGAUUGCAGUUGUGGUGUGGCAGUACAAAAGACGGAAUUUGCACACAUCGAGUGAUGAUGGUUUUGGGAUUAAUGCUACCUCCAAUGAACAGAACUGUUAGGAUUCUUGAUUGUUGCUAAGCACAUAAUCCGACUUGCAUUAUUGUACUGUUUUUACAAUAAAAGAUUCACCGGUUUUUCAUAACCAAGUUAAACUCGUGUUCACUCUACCCCUGUUUGGAUGGUUGUUUCCCGUGGUUCAUUAAUGUAUGGUUUUCUAUGAAACCAUGUUUGCAUCCAUUGUUCUUAAAAUUAUAUAGUAUGGUGUUGUAAACCCGUUGUAUGCAUUGUUCUCCCUUCCCUUUUGUUCAAGCAAUGAAAUGUCUCUCCACAAUAACUUUUUGUCA
Lycium ferocissimum is the source of this 473-nucleotide long non-coding RNA. RefSeq lists it as uncharacterized. The record is from RefSeq and is a predicted model, not a curated record. The transcript has 2 exons. Lineage: Eukaryota; Viridiplantae; Streptophyta; Magnoliopsida; Solanales; Solanaceae.